RNAcentral lists this ribosomal RNA (519 nucleotides) under uncultured archaeon. RNAcentral's name for it is "bacterial SSU rRNA". It matches the Rfam family "Archaeal small subunit ribosomal RNA", at positions 339 to 859 of the family's 1478-position model. The record is from RNAcentral.
GCGCGAAAACUUUGCAAUGUGCGAAAGCACGACAAGGUUAAUCCGAGUGUUUCCUGCUAAAGGAAUCUUUUGUCGAUCCUAAAAACACCGAUGAAUAAGGGGUGGGCAAGUUCUGGUGUCAGCCGCCGCGGUAAAACCAGCACCUCAAGUGGUCAGGAGGAUUAUUGGGCCUAAAGCAUCCGUAGCCGGCUGUGUUAGUCUCCGGUUAAAUCCAUAUGCUUAACAUAUGGGCUGCCGGAGAUACUGCACAGCUAGGGAGUGGGAGAGGUAGACGGUACUUGGUAGGAAGGGGUAAAAUCCUUUAAUCUACUGAUGACCACCUGUGGCGAAGGCGGUCUACUAGAACACGUCCGACGGUGAGGGAUGAAAGCUGGGGGAGCAAACCGGAUUAGAUACCCGGGUAGUCCCAGCUGUAAACAAUGCAAACUCAGUGAUGCGCUGGCUUGUGGCCAGCGCAGUGCCGCAGGGAAGCCGUUAAGUUUGCCGCCUGGGAAGUACGUACGCAAGUAUGAAACUUAA